ACGAUGACCUCCUUCGGGAGGGGAUUAGUGGCGAACGGGUGAGUAAAGCGUGGGCAAUCUGCCCUGCACUCUGGGACAAGCCCUGGAAACGGGGUCUAAUACCGGAUACUGACCCGCUUGGGCAUCCAAGCGGUUCGAAAGCUCCGGCGGUGCAGGAUGAGCCCGCGGCCUAUCAGCUUGUUGGUGAGGUAAUGGCUCACCAAGGCGACGACGGGUAGCCGGCCUGAGAGGGCGACCGGCCACACUGGGACUGAGACACGGCCCAGACUCCUACGGAAGGCAGCAGUGGGAAAUAUUGCAAAAU
RNAcentral lists this ribosomal RNA (304 nucleotides) under Streptomyces variabilis. RNAcentral describes it as "bacterial SSU rRNA". It matches the Rfam family "Bacterial small subunit ribosomal RNA", at positions 66 to 372 of the family's 1533-position model. The record is from RNAcentral. Lineage: Bacteria; Bacillati; Actinomycetota; Actinomycetes; Kitasatosporales; Streptomycetaceae.